Molecule: long non-coding RNA, 538 nt
Filed under: Lupinus angustifolius (narrow-leaved blue lupine)
Lineage: Eukaryota; Viridiplantae; Streptophyta; Magnoliopsida; Fabales; Fabaceae
Description: long non-coding RNA (LANG_LNC001094)
Source: RNAcentral
UCAUAUCGAUAUUGUUGCUUCUGAAAUAUUGAGGUUUAACGUAUCUUCUCUUAAUAUACACAAUUAAUGGCUACUUCUGAGGUUGUGAUUCUGAAAAAAUAACAAAUCUAUUGUGGUCUUGCGGAAAAUUAAAGCGUAAUCUGUGUUGAGAAGUAAGUCUCACAUCGCCUACCUCAUUAUCUCGGAAAUGGUUUAACUCCUCUCAUUGCCAAUUGGUUUUGAGAUGGAACCUUAAUAAUCCGAAGAUGUUUGCGGCCAUUAUUCCGAUAUUGUUUAAAUGGGUUGUUUUGUCAAGGAUUAUUACCUUCAAUGUAGUAGUAAUUUGAUUUCACAUGUUCUAUCUCUCAUUGCCAAUUGGUUUUGAGAUGGAACCUUAAUAAUCCGAAGAUGUUUGCGGCCAUUAUGCCGAUAUUGUUUAAAUGAGUUGUUUUGUCUCAAGGAUUAUUACCUUCAAUGUAGUAGUAAUUUGAUUUUGCAUGUUCUAUUACAUUGCCAUAAUCAUUUUAUUCCUGCAUUGGAAUUUACCUUUUGCAGAUGG